This 85-nucleotide transfer RNA is filed under the name Aminobacter sp. J44. RNAcentral's name for it is "tRNA-Leu". It matches the Rfam family "tRNA". From Rfam's summary of the family: Transfer RNA (tRNA) molecules are approximately 80 nucleotides in length. Their secondary structure includes four short double-helical elements and three loops (D, anti-codon, and T loops). The record is from RNAcentral. Lineage: Bacteria; Pseudomonadati; Pseudomonadota; Alphaproteobacteria; Hyphomicrobiales; Phyllobacteriaceae.
GCGGACGUGGCGAAACUGGUAGACGCAGCGGACUUAAAAUCCGCCGCCUUUUGGCUUACGGGUUCGACCCCCGUCGUCCGCACCA